GCACCCUUCGAGUACUUUCCUCACAAUAUCUGCACCAGCAGCUCCACUGAAUUGAGUUUUAGGUGGAGCUAUAGUUGAACUUGAAACUAGCUUAAUUAAUUAAUUAACCUCAUUACAUAAAAGGAAGGGAUGAGUUCAGAAUUCAACAGAACACCAAUCCUGCCUUACAGAACCGAUUGAUUUUCAGACUUUGAACAAUCAAUUCCCAUGAAUAUUAGAGAAAAACUAAUUAAUUAGAGGUCUG
Molecule: unclassified non-coding RNA, 244 nt
Filed under: Hevea brasiliensis (rubber tree)
Lineage: Eukaryota; Viridiplantae; Streptophyta; Magnoliopsida; Malpighiales; Euphorbiaceae
Source: RNAcentral